Picea glauca (white spruce) is the source of this 46-nucleotide non-coding RNA. The record is from Rfam. NCBI's taxonomy places the organism in Eukaryota, Viridiplantae, Streptophyta, Pinopsida, Pinales, Pinaceae.
GAAAUGGUGUCUUUGGACACCACCGAUAUUCUUUGGAAUAUUAUUG